Tuber brumale (winter truffle) is the source of this 96-nucleotide non-coding RNA. Lineage: Eukaryota; Fungi; Ascomycota; Pezizomycetes; Pezizales; Tuberaceae. The record is from the annotation of a GenBank genome assembly.
GGGCGCAUGGUUUAGGGGUAUAAUAUCCCAUCUGCAAUGGUCUCGUUGAGGGCCCGAAAAUUGAGACCGUCCUGGGUUCGAUUCCCAGUACGUCCA